GGUCAGCCUUAGUCACGUCGGUGCGUUUGUCCGGAGUGGGCGGGGCUAUCGUGACGUCAGUACGUCAACUGUGAUCCGUGAAGAAGUGGAGUAGUUGCCUUUGAAGUUAUUCUGAAUCCUGUUCACGUGUUGAUGAUGUCAUCAGUGAAAGUGGAGACCGUUGUGAAGGUUGGCGCUCUGAUUGGUGAAGGGCCGGUGUGGGAGGAGUCAGAGCAGACGCUGCUGUUUGUCGACAUCGCAGGACAGAAAAUUCACCGCUGGAGUCCGAUGACUAAUCAGAUCAACUCUGUGGAGACAAGUGACACGGUGGGCUUCGCGGUUCCUCGCAGGUCAGGUGGUUACAUCGCAGGAGUCGGUCGCAGCAUCGUUGCUGUUGAUUGGCCAACUCAGGGGAUGACAUCAUUGCUAGAGGUCGAUGGGGACAAACCAAACAACCGACUGAAUGACGGGAAGGUCGAUCCAAUUGGACGGCUGCUGGCAGGUUCGAUGGGGAGAGAGGCAGUAGCUGAAAGACAACAAGGAUCUCUGUUUUCUGUGACCUCUGACCUCACCUUGACUAAACACCUGAGCCAGGUGGACAUAUCUAAUGGGAUGGACUGGUCUUUGGAUCAGAAGACAUUUUUCUACAUCGACAGUUUGGCUCUGACGGUUGACGCGUUCGACUACGACCUGUCCACUGGUCACCUUGGUAACCGUCGUGUGGUGUACCGUAUGGAGGAGGGGGAGGGACUUCCUGAUGGAAUGACCGUGGAUCUGGAAGGUCGUCUGUGGGUCGCCUGUUACAACGCAGGACAAGUCAUCAACAUCGACCCAACUACUGUCAGGUGUGAGGCUGCGUUCGGUCUCUUUUCCUGUGAGGAAAACCACUUCCUGUUGUUUUGGUGGUCUGGAUUUCUCUGACCUCUAUGUGACCUCAGCCAGUCUGGGCCUUAACCAGUCAGAGAUGACACAUCAGGUGGAGGCGGGACACACCUUCAGGGUGACCGGGCUUGGGGUUAAAGGUCGUCCUCCAUGUGUGUUCUCUGGAUGAUCUUGAGGCUCAAGCAGCCAAUAGCAGCACAGAUAACCUGAUAAUAUUAAACUGGAUGUUUGGAAUGAUAGGGUUAGGGUCACCGGGAUCAUUUUGUUGCUGUUUGAAAAUAAAGGAUGAGCCAUUCAAAGUUAA
Labrus bergylta (ballan wrasse) is the source of this 1165-nucleotide RNA transcript. It is a transcript of the gene named regucalcin, with no coding region annotated. The record is from RefSeq and is a predicted model, not a curated record. NCBI's taxonomy places the organism in Eukaryota, Metazoa, Chordata, Actinopteri, Labriformes, Labridae.